AUACCUUUCUCGGCCUUUUGGCUAAGGUCAAGUGUAGUAUCUGUUCUUAUCAGUUUAAUAUCUGAUAUGUGGGCUAUGUGCUCACUUUGAUAUUAAAUUUAGCUUUUGUGGGGAAGAGUCCACUACAGUGCUUGCCACUGGGCCUCGAGCGUUGCCAAGCCGUUGCACUGCUGGCCGGGCCUGGCGCAGCCCAA
Panicum hallii is the source of this 194-nucleotide small nuclear RNA. RefSeq annotates it as U2 spliceosomal RNA. NCBI's taxonomy places the organism in Eukaryota, Viridiplantae, Streptophyta, Magnoliopsida, Poales, Poaceae. The transcript has a single exon. The record is from RefSeq and is a predicted model, not a curated record.